Molecule: unclassified non-coding RNA, 413 nt
Filed under: soil metagenome
Description: partial contains 5.8S ribosomal RNA, internal transcribed spacer 2, and large subunit ribosomal RNA
Rfam family: 5.8S ribosomal RNA (bases 1-120)
Source: RNAcentral
GAUGAAGAACGUAGCGAAAUGCGAUAAGCAAUGUGAAUUGCAGAAUUCAGUGAAUCAUCGAAUCUUUGAACGCACCUUGCGCUCUUUGGUAUUCCGAAGAGCAUGCCUGUUUGAGUGUCAUGAAAAUAUCAACCUUGACCUGGGUUUUGUGCUCUAGUCUCGGCUUGGAAUUGGGUGCUUGCCGCUUUUACGAGCGGCUCACCUUAAAUGUAUUAGCUGGAUCUGUCUUUGAGACUUGGUUUGACUUGGCGUAAUAAGUAUUUCGCUAAGGACAUUCUUCGGAGUGGCCUCGUUUCUAGGACGCUUGUCCGCUUUCCAAUACAAGUUCCACCUCGUGGACAUGACUUUUUAUUAUCUGGCCUCAAAUCAGGUAGGACUACCCGCUGAACUUAAGCAUAUCAAUAAGCGGAGGA